RNAcentral lists this ribosomal RNA (584 nucleotides) under uncultured bacterium. RNAcentral's name for it is "partial 16S ribosomal RNA". It matches the Rfam family "Bacterial small subunit ribosomal RNA", at positions 355 to 1375 of the family's 1533-position model. The record is from RNAcentral.
UGGGGAAUUUUGGACAAUGGGCGAAAGCCUGAUCCAGCAAUGCCGCGUGUGUGAAGAAGGCCUUCGGGUUGUAAAGCACUUUUGUCCGGAAAGAAAUCCUUGGCUCUAAUACAGUCGGGGGAUGACGGUACCGGAAGAAUAAGCACCGGCUAACUACGUGCCAGCAGCCGCGGUAAUACGUAGGGUGCAAGCGUUAAUCGGAAUUACUGGGCGUAAAGCGUGCGCAGGCGGUUUGCUAAGACCGAUGUGAAAUCCCCGGGCUCAACCUGGGAACUGCAUUGGUGACUGGCAGGCUAGAGUAUGGCAGAGGGGGGUAGAAUUCCACGUGUAGCAGUGAAAUGCGUAGAGAUGUGGAGGAAUACCGAUGGCGAAGGCAGCCCCCUGGGCCAAAUACUGACGCUCAUGCACGAAAGCGUGGGGAGCAAACAGGAUUAGAUACCCUGGUAGUCCACGCCCUAAACGAUGUCAACUAGUUGUUGGGGAUCAUUUCCUAGUAACGUAGCUAACGCGUGAAGUUGACCGCCUGGGGAGUACGGUCGCAAGAUUAAAACUCAAAGGAAUUGACGGGGUCAUAGCUGUUUCCU